ACGGGAGGCAGCAGUGGGGAAUAUUGCACAAUGGGGGAAACCCUGAUGCAGCGACGCCGCGUGAGUGAAGAAGUUAUUCGUAAUGUAAAGCUCUAUCAGCAGGGAAGAAAAUGACGGUACCUGACUAAGAAGCCCCGGCUAACUACGUGCCAGCAGCCGCGGUAAUACGUAGGGGGCAAGCGUUAUCCGGAUUUACUGGGUGUAAAGGGAGCGCAGACGGCAUGGCAAGCCAGAUGUGAAAGGUGGGGGCUCAACCCCCAAGCUGCAUUUGGAACUGUCAAGCUAGAGUAUCGGAGAGGUAAGUGGAAUUCCUAGUGUAGCGGUGAAAUGCGUAGAUAUUAGGAGGAACACCAGUGGCGAAGGCGGCUUACUGGACGAUAACUGACGCUGAGGCGCGAAAGCGUGGGGAGCAAACAGGAUUAGAUACCCUGGUA
This 434-nucleotide ribosomal RNA is filed under the name uncultured Lachnospiraceae bacterium. Its description in RNAcentral is "partial 16S ribosomal RNA". It matches the Rfam family "Bacterial small subunit ribosomal RNA", at positions 341 to 792 of the family's 1533-position model. The record is from RNAcentral. Lineage: Bacteria; Bacillati; Bacillota; Clostridia; Lachnospirales; Lachnospiraceae.